RNAcentral lists this ribosomal RNA (497 nucleotides) under uncultured bacterium. RNAcentral describes it as "partial 16S ribosomal RNA". It matches the Rfam family "Bacterial small subunit ribosomal RNA", at positions 28 to 507 of the family's 1533-position model. The record is from RNAcentral.
GACGAACGCUGGCGGCGUGCCUAAUACAUGCAAGUUGAGCGCUGAAGGUUGGUACUUGUACCAACUGGAUGAGCAGCGAACGGGUGAGUAACGCGUGGGGAAUCUGCCUUUGAGCGGGGGACAACAUUUGGAAACGAAUGCUAAUACCGCAUAAAAACUUUAAACACAAGUUUUAAGUUUGAAAGAUGCAAUUGCAUCACUCAAAGAUGAUCCCGCGUUGUAUUAGCUAGUUGGUGAGGUAAAGGCUCACCAAGGCGAUGAUACAUAGCCGACCUGAGAGGGCGAUCGGCCACAUUGGGACUGAGACACGGCCCAUACUCCUACGGGAGGCAGCAGUAGGGAAUCUUCGGCAAUGGACGAAAGUCUGACCGAGCAACGCCGCGUGAGUGAAGAAGGUUUUCGGAUCGUAAAACUCUGUUGGUAGAGAAGAACGUUGGUGAGAGUGGAAAGCUCAUCAAGUGACGGUAACUACCCAGAAAGGGACGGCUAACUACGUG